GACCCCCCGCGCCUCUCUCCUGCCCGCAGGAAUACGCCGCCUGCGAGGCUUUCGUGCGCCUGAAGGGCCUGGCCAUGCUUCUCCUGGGUACCGGAGCGAGCUUUGCCGUUCUCAGGAAACCCCUUCCCCUCCCCUGGAGCGCCCUCUUCUCUCUGGCUGUGGCUUCGUUACCCAGCUAUGCAGUGACCCGGAGGCAGCUGAAGAAGUGUGCUGACUUAUGGGACCUCCAGCCCCCCCGCCCCCCAGAGGUAGCCCAAGGUGAGCAGUGAGGGAGGUCGAAGCAUCUUUCUGGGCAGAAGCCUAAAGGAACCUUUUUCCAGGCUAAGAGAACACAGACUUCUUCUCCUGAGAUGAAGGGAGGCAAGUGGAAGAGCCCCCCCACCCCCUGCAGUGACACUCGGGAGUAGCUGUUUUUGGCCAUUUAAUCAUGUUGUAAGCGAAGCAGGAAUAAAAUGCAAACUGUC
Non-coding RNA from Python bivittatus (Burmese python), 464 nucleotides. The record is from RefSeq and is a predicted model, not a curated record. Lineage: Eukaryota; Metazoa; Chordata; Lepidosauria; Squamata; Pythonidae.